RNAcentral lists this ribosomal RNA (330 nucleotides) under Pomatoschistus norvegicus (Norway goby). RNAcentral's name for it is "partial 12S ribosomal RNA". It matches the Rfam family "Bacterial small subunit ribosomal RNA", at positions 865 to 1362 of the family's 1533-position model. The record is from RNAcentral. Lineage: Eukaryota; Metazoa; Chordata; Actinopteri; Gobiiformes; Gobiidae.
UCGCUUGCCAGGGAACUACGAGCCCCAGCUUAAAACCCAAAGGACUUGGCGGUGCUUUAGACCCCCCUAGAGGAGCCUGUUCUAGAACCGAUAACCCCCGUUAAACCUCACCCCCUCUUGUUCUCCCCGCCUAUAUACCGCCGUCGUCAGCUUACCCUGUGAAGGACUAAUAGUGAGCAUAAUUGGUACAACCUAAAACGUCAGGUCGAGGUGUAGCGUAUGAGGGGGGAAGAAAUGGGCUACAUUCACUGGCCCAGUGAAAACGAACGAUGCUUUGAAACACCUAUCCGAAGGAGGAUUUAGCAGUAAGAGGGAAAUAGAGUGCCCCUC